UGGGGAAUAUUGCACAAUGGGCGCAAGCCUGAUGCAGCCAUGCCGCGUGUAUGAAGAAGGCCUUCGGGUUGUAAAGUACUUUCAGCGGGGAGGAAGGCGAUAAGGUUAAUAACCUUGUCGAUUGACGUUACCCGCAGAAGAAGCACCGGCUAACUCCGUGCCAGCAGCCGCGGUAAUACGGAGGGUGCAAGCGUUAACCGGAAUUACUGGGCGUAAAGCGCACGCAGGCGGUCUGUCAAGUCGGAUGUGAAAUCCCCGGGCUCAACCUGGGAACUGCAUUCGAAACUGGCAGGCUAGAGUCUUGUAGAGGGGGGUAGAAUUCCAGGUGUAGCGGUGAAAUGCGUAGAGAUCUGGAGGAAUACCGGUGGCGAAGGCGGCCCCCUGGACAAAGACUGACGCUCAGGUGCGAAAGCGUGGGGAGCAAACA
RNAcentral lists this ribosomal RNA (427 nucleotides) under uncultured bacterium. RNAcentral describes it as "partial 16S ribosomal RNA". It matches the Rfam family "Bacterial small subunit ribosomal RNA", at positions 355 to 774 of the family's 1533-position model. The record is from RNAcentral.